AUCAAAGGAUGCAAGACGCUCC
This 22-nucleotide non-coding RNA is filed under the name Arabidopsis thaliana (thale cress). The record is from RNAcentral. Lineage: Eukaryota; Viridiplantae; Streptophyta; Magnoliopsida; Brassicales; Brassicaceae.